CCGAAAGAUGGUGGCUGCAAAAACUAAGCACCAUUUAUAAUGUCAGCACCCAACCUCUGGAGCAGAAGGGUACUGUUCAGACAUCAGCUCCCCACACAAGAAUUUGGUGUCUUUCAGCACAGAGCACUCCUGGUGUUGGCAGUGUCACAAGCAGCCUGCAGUUUCAGAGACAAGAGGUUUGGAGGAUUAAAGAAAACAUUUAAGAAUAGAAAGUGAGGAUGCCCAAAGCAUGCAGAGUACCCUGCCUUCUGAGCC
Molecule: long non-coding RNA, 255 nt
Filed under: Parus major (Great Tit)
Lineage: Eukaryota; Metazoa; Chordata; Aves; Passeriformes; Paridae
Description: lncRNA (ENSPMJG00000012658.1)
Source: RNAcentral